AAGUCGUAACAAGGUCUCCGUUGGUGAACCAGCGGAGGGAUCAUUACUGAGCUUACAACUCCCAAACCCGUGUGAACAUACCUAUCGUUGCUUCGGCGGGACUGCCCCGGCGCCUCGCGCGCCGGACACAGGCGCCCGCCGGAGACCACAAACUCUUGCAUUUAUACGAAUUCUCUGAGGAACUAUACAAAUGAAUCAAAACUUUCAACAACGGAUCUCUUGGUUCUG
Molecule: unclassified non-coding RNA, 228 nt
Filed under: air metagenome
Description: partial contains small subunit ribosomal RNA, internal transcribed spacer 1, and 5.8S ribosomal RNA
Rfam family: Eukaryotic small subunit ribosomal RNA (bases 1-46)
Source: RNAcentral